CUUAGCUUUUUUUUUUUUUCUGAUGUAAAAUAAAUAAUCCAUGCAGACAAUGGAAAGUAAUGGUCUAAGGACUGAAAACUCUAAAUCAAGCAAUGGGCCAUGGAAGCAGAGCUGUGUGGAGGUGAAGGGCACCCUCAGGACUUAUUUAUAUGUAUCUAGGACUAAACCAGAGGCUUGGCAGUGUGGGAGCAAGAAGAAUCUGGGUACCAUGUGAAAGCAGCCCCUUAAUGCAGCAAAAGCCCCGAGCAGCUCCUCAGGAUCUGGUGGUGUGUAGUGCAGUGGCCAAGGGAAUGAGUUCGAGCAGGCAGAGGUUGCCCCAUGUUCUCCUCCACCACGUGUGACCUUGGUCCUUCAGGGGCAAGCCAGCAUGAGGGAUGAAUGAAUACACAUGAGGGAGCAAAGAAAAGGCAGGGGAUCAAGCCAGAAGGAACUGUAGAGGAAGGCAGCUGUCCUUUGCUUCUUCAUGUACAACCUGGCCUUGACAUUUUACAACUUCACAUCUUGCCAAACACAGAACUCCCGAAACAAAGUGCUUUUGGAGUGGUGUGAGUGAUGCUCCUGCUCCUGCUUCCCAAACUGCUCCAAAGCUGCCAUGGACAGCAUGGGGACCAAAGCUGAGAUUUGGAAGGUGAUGAGAGAAACAAUACAACCAGAACCCUGUCUCCACAACCUGAAGUAAAGAAGAAAUCUUACAUCACGGAUAAACUCAUUUUUCUGCUGAUGAUGAAGGGUGAGUUUAUGCAUGAGCUAUUGCUGUUUAUACUUCCAGGGAUGCUAAAUUACAAAUGCAGAUGAGGGCUGCAUUAUAACACUUGUGAAACAGCUUUCUGAACCCUUUGGCAGGGCUGUUGAACUAAACACAAAGCCUUUAUCUCUCUGAAUCUCUCAGGGCAUAUUAAUCCUUCACUUAGAGGUUUGUCAGAUGAAAAGCUGCUUGAAUGGUUUGAUAUUUUUUUGAUUGUGUCUGGAUUGUAUUGGUGCUGGGUACAGAUCACAUAAAGCCAGAGUCAGGAGUCCCAGAAAGCUCCUGUGACGUGCAGGACAUGGCACUGCCCUGCUGCUGCUGCUGCUGCUGCAGGGAGCUGAGGGAGCAGCCCAGCACCUGGACCUUCACUGAGGAGCCCAGCAGUAGGUCUGGCACACAGCCCACUGUGCAGGGAGGAGUUUGUCUGUCUGGAGAGGGUAAGCCAGGCCUU
Molecule: long non-coding RNA, 1196 nt
Organism: Haemorhous mexicanus (house finch)
Lineage: Eukaryota; Metazoa; Chordata; Aves; Passeriformes; Fringillidae
Exons: 5
Source: RefSeq, a predicted model, not a curated record